GCAGUCGAGGGGUAUAGUUCUUCGGAAUUAGAGACCGGCGCACGGGUGCGUAACGCGUAUGCAAUCUACCUUUCACAGAGGGAUAGCCCAGAGAAAUUUGGAUUAAUACCUCAUAGUAUAUGGACUUGGCAUCAAGAUCAUAUUAAAGUCACAACGGUGAAAGAUGAGCAUGCGUCCCAUUAGCUAGUUGGUAAGGUAACGGCUUACCAAGGCAACGAUGGGUAGGGGUCCUGAGAGGGAGAUCCCCCACACUGGUACUGAGACACGGACCAGACUCCUACGGGAGGCAGCAGUGAGGAAUAUUGGUCAAUGGGCGCAAGCCUGAACCAGCCAUGCCGCGUGCAGGAUGACGGUCCUAUGGAUUGUAAACUGCUUUUGUACGGGAAGAAACAGCGAUUCGUGAAUCGCCUUGACGGUACCGUAAGAAUAAGGAUCGGCUAACUCCGUGCCAGCAGCCGCGGUAAUACGGAGGAUCCAAGCGUUAUCCGGAAUCAUUGGGUUUAAAGGGUCCGUAGGCGGUUUGGUAAGUCAGUGGUGAAAGCCCAUCGCUCAACGGUGGAACGGCCAUUGAUACUGCCAGACUUGAAUUAUUAGGAAGUAACUAGAAUAUGUAGUGUAGCGGUGAAAUGCUUAGAGAUUACAUGGAAUACCAAUUGCGAAGGCAGGUUACUACUAAUGGAUUGACGCUGAUGGACGAAAGCGUGGGUAGCGAACAGGAUUAGAUACCCUGGUAGUCCACGCCGUAAACGAUGGAUACUAGCUGUUGGGAGCGAUCUCAGUGGCUAAGCGAAAGUGAUAAGUAUCCCACCUGGGGAGUACGUUCGCAAGAAUGAAACUCAAAG
Molecule: ribosomal RNA, 842 nt
Filed under: uncultured bacterium
Lineage: Bacteria
Description: bacterial SSU rRNA
Rfam family: Bacterial small subunit ribosomal RNA
Source: RNAcentral